Non-coding RNA from Pelobates cultripes (western spadefoot toad), 218 nucleotides. The record is from the annotation of a GenBank genome assembly. NCBI's taxonomy places the organism in Eukaryota, Metazoa, Chordata, Amphibia, Anura, Pelobatidae.
CUCAUAAAUUGGGAAAGAUCCUUAGUGACCCCAGUACAGAAGAUAGAAUUCCUGGGUUUCGAAGUUGACUUGAUCGCCCAAUUCUUGUUCCUCCCAGAGGCCAAGUUAAAGGCUACGAAGAAAGAAAUAAAACGUACGCUGCGGACCACCUCUCUCUCCAUACGACAACUGGCGAGAGUGAUUGGUCUUUUGGCCUCAUCAAUUCAGGCGAUUUUUCC